Molecule: long non-coding RNA, 4730 nt
Organism: Taeniopygia guttata (zebra finch)
Lineage: Eukaryota; Metazoa; Chordata; Aves; Passeriformes; Estrildidae
Source: Ensembl
UUUUUUUUUCUUUUUUUUUUUUUUAAGAGAGCACCAAGGAGGACAGAGCAGGUUAAUAUCUCCCAUCUCACUGGCAAGGGUUUCAUAAUCUCCUAGCACUUUGGCCACUCAGCUCUUCCUCUUUUUCCACUCCAGCUCCUUUUGCUGGGCUACCUUAGCUUCCAAGCAGCAUCCCCAGUCCCACACAGAUCACUGCUGUACAGGUGGUAGUUAAAAAUAUACAGCAACUGCUGAUGCUGAAGCCUGGUCAAAAUUUACAUUUACACAUCACCUCAAUAUCAUAUACUUUCUUUUUAAAAUUUAUACUUCUAUUGCUAUUAUGCAAUGUAACAGAGAAAACAAUCAGAGAGGAUAAUCCAAGAGGACAAUCCUGUUUGUACCUUCCUUUGGUUGUGUUAUUUCUACAAGAGAUUUGGUUCAAGCUUUUGGGGGGAAGGAAAAGUACAAAGGCCAGCAACAAUACAGCAGGUACAGUCAUGAUUCAAGACUCACCUUUGUUAUGACAAGAGGUUCUGUGGAGCCAGUCUGCGCAUUCUCACCAGUCACCACAUCCAACGUCCAGGUGCCGUGCCACCUAACUUGUCUUAUUCCAAACUCUUGGGGAUUGAGCAUUCUCUAAAGUCAAAUGAAUCUGACCUUUUCCUAAUACUCCCCAGCUGCAACCCACACAGAGUGUUUGAGCACACACCUUGGCCUCUAAGCGGUUCCAGGCCCCUGUGACAGGCCUGCAGGCUGGCCAAGACCAGAACAGGGAGAGAUGUGCCUGCUCUGUCCUCAGGACCAUGUUGGGAAACAUCUGCUCCCUUCCCCAGUGUGUGACUCAAAGAACCCAGCAGCAUGCUCCUCACUCACCUGCACUUACAGUGCCAUAUUCCAGUGCAGUAUUUCCUGUUGAGACUUUCUGAAGUCUUGUUGUUUUAGGAGUCAGCAGUAAUAAGGCAGACACAUUACUUGGCAGUUCAUUUUGAAAGUCCUAUUACUGAAUUAUUUUGCAUUAAGUGAUGUCACAGUUGAGACAGCCACAAUACACAGAGUGUCACCAUACAAUGUCAGAAAGCUUCAGCCCAUACAGAGGCAACACCACCCCACUUCAGAAAGCUUCAAGCAUCUGCCCCUCUUGUCCUUCAGCCCAGCUUUUCAUACCCCUGAUUGCUCAUGCACUGCACCUGUGAGCCCUCUGCUCCCUUUGGUGGUUGGUCAGUGCCCUGGGCACUCCCUGGCUCAUUGCUGUCACUGCUGCUCACCUGCUCCUCACAGCUGUGCCCAUGGGGAUGAGGCUGGGCCAGCCCCACCCCAAUCACAACGAACUUUGUACCUACAAAGUGACACAAAUAAGAAUAUAAUAACAAAAUUCUGACCUUCAGAAAACUUUUAUCGGCUUUACCCAUAAUGUGAAAUUAUUUUUCACAGUUAUUCACAAAAUCUAGAUAGGGAAAACUGGAUCAUACAUAUUGAAAUUACUUUGAGGUAAAAGAGAAAAACUAGUUUAGAUUAAACAUGCUUUCUGCUCACUCCCUACUCCAAGUAACCCAAUUUUCUAUAGUUAUACACUUGCUUUUUCUGCCCAUUGUGGUCUGAUCAAAAAUAUCCUUCAAAAAGGCUUCUUUAUGCUACUGGGUCAGUUUCAGUCUGCAGCACAAUUUACAUAGCAUCUAUUUCUAUUUCCUGCAAGGAUGAAUAGCCAAAUAUUUGUCUAUGUAAGUUCAGACUUCACUUUUGUACCAUUUUUAGCCAUCAUUCAAAUUGCUUCCACCAUUAAUGGAAAGAAAAAAAUGAACUUAGUUACAACAACUGGGGUAUUAAUUUAUUUUGGUAAUUUUUUUUCAUAUUAAACACAGAGCUUUUCAUAUGUUUGACAGAAUACUUACUUAGUCGUAUUUUUGUCAAGUCUUGUUUUUAAUCUUUUCCAAAUGGUCGAUUUUACUGUGCUGUUGAUGCAUAUGCAAUUCCAUGUGAUGCAAUUGCAUUGCACGGCUUAAUAUAUGAAAACAACCAAAGAUCAGAACAUUUAGCACCUGCAAAACAAUCUUCAAUUACUGUCUUUAGCCAGAUAAUAAACUAAGUAAAUGACAGCCAUGUGCCAUGCUAAUAAACUAACAGCAGAGGAUUGAAAAAUGUGAAAACAACUUUUAAAAAGAAGUGGUUAUUUAGCAUUGUUUUACAUUCUGGAAGAUGGGACUCUUUUGUAUUAUUUUAAAGGACAGUAUGCAAUCUGUAAGACAAUUAAAUUUUGUACGUAUUAAUCAUCAGGUGACAAUAUUUUUAUAUCAUAAUGAGGCUAUAGCUAAAAAGUGCCUUCACCAUUCCAGGCACUGCUCAACUGCUGGGUUUUUUUCACCCACACAAAAAGAAAGUGAAUAGCCAUUGAAAUAAUUUAAAUAUCUUCUUUUAUAAAAUAUAAAUAAAUAAAAUAAGCUUUCUAUUAUACAGUUUGGAGAAUUUUUGUUGUCAGAAUUUGUCUUUUUUUUAAUAUUUAGAAAGAAGACUACAAUGAAGAAAAGCAAGUGGGUUUGCCAUCAAAAGCAUUCAUUGCUGUGACACACAAACACCUGUCAGUGGAAAAAGUCUUCAACUUCUUCACUUCUCUUUACUAGGAAGAAAUGCGUAUGAAGCUUUCAGACUAUUUUCUUCCAGUGUUUUGAAGUACCUUUCAGUUCACAUGAAGGCUAACAAUUGCAAAGAAGCAGAAGAGAAGGAAAAGCUGGCAAAAUGGAAAGACUGAGGAGCAGUGAAAGCCUCCCUGCUUAUAGCUAUUCUUUUGUUGAACACUCAUAUGGCACACCCAUUUUAAAUACAGCACAAAUUAUAUACAAAAAAAAAACAUGAAAAAUAUUUCAAAAGUUUAAUUCCUAAUGCACAUUUCAUUCCCUGCAAAUAUUUUCUUCUGAAUGAGAGUUACUCAUUAACAACACAAAUCAUGAAAUAUUUAAUGAGCAACAGUAAUAGAACACUAUUUAUAUAAAAUUACAAUUUAUAUGCAGGGUUUUUUAUAUUUAUAUAGCAAUUUCUAAUUACCUUAUUCAGUGUGUAACUAAAAUAACUAUAGUAGACUAAGUCAGUUUUAUAGAUAACACUACUCAUGAAAUAAGAAGCAACAUUUUUAGAAAGUGUAUGAAAAAUGUUACAGAUUAUUUUGAAAUCACUGUUGCACAUGGCCACAUAAAGGGAAUUAAUCUUGCUAAUUUUAUAAGAAAAAAAUUCCAAAACAUCUCUUUCACUAACAUAAAUUAAAAUCUUUACAAAUUUCACAUUAAAAAAAAGAAAAAAAAAAAAAAAAAAAGAAAACUUGCAGAAGCAUCAAGCCAGCAGUCUUGUAACAGCAAAGCCUGCUUCUUGUGGAUUAGUAAACCCUCACUUACAUCUGAUAAAGUAGUUCUUCCUCCAGCUCUCCUUGCUUAGCUGCCCCUAUCAAUCCAGGGAUACCUUCCUUUUCUCUGAAACAAUUACACUUGAGGAGUUUUGAACUUCUGGUGCAGACUAAUCCAUUUAACUACAGAAGCACCUUUCAAGCUUCCAUUUGACACAAGUCCAUCGUUCAUCAUUUGCUGGUGCAUAUGCUUUUUGCUGACAGAGCUCCAUUACUAGAAAAAGCUCAGUAAGUAAAGCUGAUUUGAAACAACUAUAUAUUAUAGAUAGCCUGCAUGAGACACGCUGAUUUUGAGUCUAGAAAAUCACCACAUAAAAAAGGAAGGGGGGAGGGGUGGCUGAAAAGAACUAUUUAAUUAUUAAUAUACUUUCACUUCUUACCAACUGCUGCAAUGUGAUUUAUUAGCGUUAAUUUGCAAUUUACUUGGGCAUGGGAAGAGAAAUUUAACUCUAUACAGCAAAGUAUAUAACAUGCUUUGGAAUUCUUGGACCAGAAAUGUUUUUGUCUCUAAUUAACACCGCACCAAUGUUAUCACAGAUCCCUAUCAACUUCAGCAUGAUGUAAGAUCAUCAAGCUGGAAAUCAAUAUGCUGAACCAUAAAUUCUGCAGCACAAGCAAGAAUAUAUUUGAUUCUAUUUUUUGACCAGUGACAUAAUUUAGGUAACAUUAACAAGGCAUCUCUGUAGUGUAUUUGGCAGUAGUAAGUGAUUUACCAACAUGCAUUAAGGUUCAGCAUUUGGUGUGGUUUAGUAUUUUAGCCUCUAUUUUACAGAUGCAAGUACAGGGCAAGGAAGGGGUAAGUAAUGUACUCAACAUCCACAUUUUCUUAUUCAUCACUUCGGCUAAUAAACGUUAUGGCUACUGGGGGUGGGUAUAAGAAGGUUUCGCCAGUUUGGCUGUGCUCACUCAACCAUCAGAUUUUCUUUUUUGAGAGAGAGUAAAACAACAAAAAAAUAAUAACAUUUAAAAUAUAAGGAGUAUGGUAAUGAGAGCUGGUAGCAAAGUAAAGGGUCUAUCAGUGAAGUACAAUUAGCCUUCACAAACUUCCUUUAAGGCUCCAAGAGAAAAAGCACUUUCAUGAAACCAAGGAGGUACAUGCUCAGCCUGAAUGUCAAGUAAUAGUUAUAUCCCAGCUCUUCCAAGUGCCUUGCUUUAAAAAGGGAUAGAGUCACCUCCCCUAACAUUCACAAAUGUUGGGCCAAUCUUUUGGGGAAAGAGUGAGACAGAAAAGAAAGACAAAAGAAGCACCUGAAAUAAUAACAGACUUCAGGAUCUAUCUUUAAGGUAUAGCCAAAUAAGGCCUUUUCCUGCAACCAAUAUUCUUCUCUCUUCACUGACUGGAAUGAAAAAAAAAAAAAAAAAA